This 253-nucleotide ribosomal RNA is filed under the name uncultured bacterium. Its description in RNAcentral is "partial 16S ribosomal RNA". It matches the Rfam family "Bacterial small subunit ribosomal RNA", at positions 524 to 776 of the family's 1533-position model. The record is from RNAcentral.
UACGUAGGGUGCGAGCGUUAAUCGGAAUUACUGGGCGUAAAGCGCGCGCAGGCGGUUUGGUAAGUCCGGUGUGAAAUCCCCGGGCUCAACCCGGGAACUGCGUCCGAUACUGGAAGGCUUGAAUCCGGGAGAGGGAUGCGGAAUUCCAGGUGUAGCGGUGAAAUGCGCAGAUAUCAGGAGGAACACCGGUGGCGAAGGCGGGUCUCUGGGCAGUAACUGACGCUGAGGAGCGAAAGCGUGGGGAGCGAACAGG